UACGUAGGUCCCGAGCGUUGUCCGGAUUUAUUGGGCGUAAAGCGAGCGCAGGUGGUUUAUUAAGUCUGGUGUAAAAGGCAGUGGCUCAACCAUUGUAUGCAUUGGAAACUGGUAGACUUGAGUGCAGGAGAGGAGAGGGGAAUUCCAUGUGUAGCGGUGAAAUGCGUAGAUAUAUGGAGGAACACCGGUGGCGAAAGCGGCUCUCUGGCCUGUAACUGACACUGAGGCUCGAAAGCGUGGGGAGCAAACAGG
RNAcentral lists this ribosomal RNA (252 nucleotides) under uncultured bacterium. Its description in RNAcentral is "partial 16S ribosomal RNA". It matches the Rfam family "Bacterial small subunit ribosomal RNA", at positions 524 to 776 of the family's 1533-position model. The record is from RNAcentral.